RNAcentral lists this ribosomal RNA (253 nucleotides) under uncultured bacterium. RNAcentral describes it as "partial 16S ribosomal RNA". It matches the Rfam family "Bacterial small subunit ribosomal RNA", at positions 524 to 776 of the family's 1533-position model. The record is from RNAcentral.
UACGAAGGGGGCUAGCGUUGCUCGGAAUCACUGGGCGUAAAGCGCACGUAGGCGGAUUGUUAAGUCAGGGGUGAAAUCCUGGAGCUCAACUCCAGAACUGCCUUUGAUACUGAAGAUCUCGAGUCCGGGAGAGGUGAGUGGAACUGCGAGUGUAGAGGUGAAAUUCGUAGAUAUUCGCAAGAACACCAGUGGCGAAGGCGGCUCACUGGCCCGGUACUGACGCUGAGACGCGAAAGCGUGGGGAGCAAACAGG